AUGGACCCUCAACCUGAUCCUCCCAAAGCCCCCACUGUGUUCCCAUUGACUCCUAGUCGCCCAACCCGGGUGGCCAGAGCGACUUCCGCUGUCUCCGUAGUUCCUAUCGGUUGCCUCAUCAAAGACUACUUUCCUGAACCAGCCACAGUGCAAUGGAAUUCAGGCACCAUCACCAGUGGAAUCCACCACUUCCCUCCAGUUCGGCAUGCAUCCGGCCGGUAUACUCACACCAGCCUGCUCACCAUCACCCCUAGCCAGUGGGAAUCUGAAUUAUUCUAUUGCAAUGUCGUACAUGAAGCCACCAACUCCACAAUCAACAAAUACGUUGGCCAAACCAGCAGGGAUUUAUCCACUAGGAUUAAUGCCUACCUUCUGCCCCCACGGCCAAAACACCUCUACAUACACAGAAAUGCCAAGAUCGUUUGCGUGGUUGUCAAUCUGGAACGGAAGGACGGGUUGAAAGUAAGCUGGACGCGCGAGAAGCAAGUCGUCACACGUCCGGAAUUAGUGGCGGUGACCGAAGAAAACAAUGGGACCUUCACCGCUGUCAGCCGCCUCCCUGUCUCUGCCCAAGAUUGGGAAUCCGGAGAAACUUUCACCUGUUCGGUAGAAUAUCCAGGUUUGCUUGGUCCCAUCGUGAAGACAAUUUCCAAGAGCAGAGCUACUCCCAAAGCCCCCACUGUGUUCCCAUUGAGUCCUAGUGACCAAACCCAGAGGGCCACUGACUCCAACGUUAGCAUCGGUUGUCUCGUCAAAAACUACUUUCCUGAACCAGCCACAGUGAAAUGGAAUUCAGGUGCCAUCACCAGUGGAAUCCACCAGUUCCCUCCGAUUGUUCAUUCAUCCGGCCACUAUACUCACACCAGCUUGCUCACCAUCCCAGCCAGCCAGUGGGAAUCUGAGACAUUCCAGUGCAACGUCGACCAUGAGGCCACCCACACCAGAAUCAACAAAAACAUUGAGCGGUGUGACUAUGAACCGGUGGCUCCUAAGGUCCAUAUACUCCAUUCUUCUUGCAACCCAAAAGGCAGUGAUGGAACCAUAACACUGGUGUGCUUCAUUGAGAAUUUCUACCCCAAAGAUAUUAAGGUUGAGUGGCUGGUGGGCAGCCACCAUGGAUUGGUGGCUCCCUACACUGAACCUCCGACGCGUGAUGCAAAUAAGUACACUUUCAGCACCAACAGCGUCGUCAACAUCACCCAGCAAGAUUGGUUGGAAGGAAAUACUUACUACUGCCAGGUAACCCACGCAGCAUCACAAACAAAAACGAAAAGCAGAGCCAGGAAAUGUGAAGAUGCCACCAGCCACUUCUCCACCGCCAUUACCAGCUACCUUCUGCCCCCACAACCAAAAGACUUGUACAUGAACAGAAAUGCCAAGAUCGUUUGCGUGGUUGUCAAUCUGCAACAGGAAGAUGGGUUGAAAAUAAGCUGGUCCCGCGAGAAGCAAGCCACCACGCAUCCGGAAUUAGUGGCGGUGACUGAAGAAAACAAUGGGACCUUCACCGCUGUCAGCCGCCUCCCUGUCUCUGCCCAAGAUUGGGAAUCCGGAGAAACUUUCACCUGUUCGGUAGAAUAUCCAGGUUUGCCUGGUCCCAUCGUGAAGACAAUUUCCAAGAGCAGAGAAAAGAGCAAGGCACCCAUCGUCCACAUCUACCCUCCCAUCAAGGGCAAUAUGAUUAUCAUCAACUGCUUUGUCCAUGACUUUGUCCCACAGCAGAUCGAUAUUCAGUGGCUAAAGAAUGGCCAGGCCAUUUCCGAAACCGAAUACGUCAAUACUCCAGCUGUGAAGGAAAAGACUGACGAUACCCACUUCGCAUUUAGCAAACUGACCGUCUCUAGGCAAUCUUGGGAGGAGAGGGACCUGUUUAGCUGUUUGGUUGUCCACGAGGCCCUUGAAAUGAAGUUCACCCAGCAGACCAUAGAGAAAACUUCGGGUAAACAUUGACGGCUCAAAACAUGACUUGAAUUCCUAGAUUCGUCUCUCUCAUGGUGUUGGAUCCCAAUCCUUGUAAAUAGUUUACAUGCUUACGUGUUUGGCUAAAUAAAAGCAAACCA
Ahaetulla prasina is the source of this 2057-nucleotide non-coding RNA. NCBI's taxonomy places the organism in Eukaryota, Metazoa, Chordata, Lepidosauria, Squamata, Colubridae. The record is from the annotation of a RefSeq genome assembly.